AUGCACGCUGGCGGCGUGCCUCAUACCUGCAAGUCGAGCGAACAGAUGAGGAGCUUGCUCCUCUGACGUUAGCGGCGGACGGGUGAGUAACACGUGGAUAACCUACCUAUAAGACUGGGAUAACUUCGGGAAACCGGAGCUAAUACCGGAUAAUAUAUUGAACCGCAUGGUUCAAUAGUGAAAGACGGUUUUGCUGUCACUUAUAGAUGGAUCCGCGCCGCAUUAGCUAGUUGGUAAGGUAACGGCUUACCAAGGCAACGAUGCGUAGCCGACCUGAGAGGGUGAUCGGCCACACUGGAACUGAGACACGGUCCAAACUCCUACGGGAGGCAGCAGUAGGGAAUCUUCCGCAAUGGGCGAAAGCCUGACGGAGCAACGCCGCGUGAGUGAUGAAGGUCUUCGGAUCGUAAAACUCUGUUAUUAGGGAAGAACAAAUGUGUAAGUAACUAUGCACGUCUUGACGGUACCUAAUCAGAAAGCCACGGCUAACUACGUG
This 496-nucleotide ribosomal RNA is filed under the name uncultured bacterium. RNAcentral's name for it is "partial 16S ribosomal RNA". It matches the Rfam family "Bacterial small subunit ribosomal RNA", at positions 29 to 507 of the family's 1533-position model. The record is from RNAcentral.